This 83-nucleotide transfer RNA is filed under the name Danio rerio (zebrafish). It matches the Rfam family "tRNA". Rfam says of the family: Transfer RNA (tRNA) molecules are approximately 80 nucleotides in length. Their secondary structure includes four short double-helical elements and three loops (D, anti-codon, and T loops). Lineage: Eukaryota; Metazoa; Chordata; Actinopteri; Cypriniformes; Danionidae. The record is from Rfam by way of RNAcentral.
ACCAGCAUGGCUGAGUGGUUAAGGCGUUGGGCUUAAGAUCCACUGGGCAAAUGUCCUCAUGGGUUCAAAAACCAUUCCUGGUA